Molecule: long non-coding RNA, 650 nt
Filed under: Cyanistes caeruleus (blue tit)
Lineage: Eukaryota; Metazoa; Chordata; Aves; Passeriformes; Paridae
Description: lncRNA (ENSCCEG00000014580.1)
Source: RNAcentral
CUGCUCUGUAUUGUGUUACAGGACAAGCCAAGGGGCAGCACUGCCAGGGUUUGCUUUAGCAGCUUGCUGGGCCACCAGAUGUAUCCAAAUACGUGGUUCUGAUACCUGAGCCUCAUUUUCCCAAGCUGGCUUUUGUAGGAGGGAGUAGAGUUGAAGGGACCUCUUGGGUCAUUUGUGAAAUCUGGGCUCUGGGACAAGCCCUGGUCAAGGUGUUUCAUGCUUCUGAGACUCAGAGCCUGCUCUCAUCCCCCAGAAAGAAGUCCUAACCCUGGGCUGCUCAGCUGCAGACACAGCCCUAAGGAGCUGUGCCAUGAACCCUACCAGCACUAUGGGAAGAUCUGGAUUGAUGAACCUGUAAAGCUCUGUCUUGUCCUUCCAGUUUAUUACUCAUCUGUGGCUUUUUUACCAGUUGUCUUUCAGCAGGGAGAAACUGAACUGAGAUGUGCAGCUACAAGGAAUUUCACCCUGCUCUUUCUCCAAGCCUGGAACAGCAAACUCACUACAGAGACCUUGGAGUGUGGCAAGAGGUUCAAAAUAAAGUCUCUGUAAAGGAAAGGCCAGAAAGCACUGCUCCAGGCCAUUGCAAAGGGUGAGCCAAAGGGCUUGGGUAUCAUCCAUGUGAAGAUUCACCAACAAAUGGGACAGUUACA